UCUACAGUGUACGUUUCUUAGUUGCCGUGCAGGCGCACUGCGUAGCCUACAACGUGCGUUUCUUGAAGUUGGAAUCAUGGCGGAAU
Etheostoma cragini (Arkansas darter) is the source of this 86-nucleotide long non-coding RNA. RefSeq lists it as uncharacterized. NCBI's taxonomy places the organism in Eukaryota, Metazoa, Chordata, Actinopteri, Perciformes, Percidae. The transcript has 3 exons. The record is from RefSeq and is a predicted model, not a curated record.